UUAACACAUGCAGUCGAGCGGUAAGGCCCUUCGGGGUACACGAGCGGCGAACGGGUGAGUAACACGUGAGCAACCUGCCCCUGACUCCGGGAUAAGCGGUGGAAACGCCGUCUAAUACCGGAUACGACCCUUCUCCUCAUGGUGGAGGGUGGAAAGUUCUUCGGUCGGGGAUGGGCUCGCGGCCUAUCAGCUUGUUGGUGGGGUAACGGCCUACCAAGGCGAUUACGGGUAGCCGGCCUGAGAGGGCGACCGGCCACACUGGGACUGAGACACGGCCCAGACUCCUGCGGGAGGCAGCAGUGGGGAAUAUUGCGCAAUGGGCGAAAGCCUGACGCAGCGACGCCGCGUGGGGGAUGACGGCCUUCGGGUUGUAAACCUCUUUUACCACCAACGCAGGCUCCGGGUUCUCUCGGGGUUGACGGUAGGUGGGGAAUAAGGACCGGCUAACUACGUGCCAGCAGCCGCGGUAAUACGUAGGGUCCGAGCGUUGUCCGGAAUUAUUGGGCGUAAAGAGCUCGUAGGCGGCGUGUCGCGUCUGCUGUGAAAGACCGGGGCUUAACUCCGGUUCUGCAGUGGAUACGGGCAUGCUAGAGGUAGGUAGGGGAGACUGGAAUUCCUGGUGUAGCGGUGAAAUGCGCAGAUAUCAGGAGGAACACCGGUGGCGAAGGCGGGUCUCUGGGCCUUACCUGACGCUGAGGAGCGAAAGCAUGGGGAGCGAACAGGAUUAGAUACCCUGGUAGUCCAUGCCGUAAACGUUGGGCGCUAGGUGUGGGGACUUUCCACGGUUUCCGCGCCGUAGCUAACGCAUUAAGCGCCCCGCCUGGGGAGUACGGGCCGCAAGGCUAAACUCAAAGGAAUUGACGGGGGCUCGCACAAGCGGCGGAGCAUGUUGCUUAAUUUCGACGCAACGCGAAGAACCUUACCAAGGGUUUGACAUCACCGUGGACCUGCAGAGAUGUGGGUCAUUUAGUGUGGUGACAGUGGUGCAUGGCUGCCGUCAGCUCGUGUCGCGAGAGGUUGGGUAGUCCGGAACGAGCGCUAU
RNAcentral lists this ribosomal RNA (1042 nucleotides) under actinomycete CXB833. RNAcentral's name for it is "bacterial SSU rRNA". It matches the Rfam family "Bacterial small subunit ribosomal RNA", at positions 48 to 1102 of the family's 1533-position model. The record is from RNAcentral. Lineage: Bacteria; Bacillati; Actinomycetota; Actinomycetes; Actinomycetales.